GGGCAAUUAGCUCAGCGGUAGAGCGUUCCCUUUACACGGGAAGGGCCGGGGGUUCGAUCCCCUCAUUGCCCACCA
RNAcentral lists this transfer RNA (75 nucleotides) under Elusimicrobiota bacterium. RNAcentral describes it as "Elusimicrobia bacterium tRNA-Val". It matches the Rfam family "tRNA". From Rfam's summary of the family: Transfer RNA (tRNA) molecules are approximately 80 nucleotides in length. Their secondary structure includes four short double-helical elements and three loops (D, anti-codon, and T loops). The record is from RNAcentral. Lineage: Bacteria; Pseudomonadati; Elusimicrobiota.